RNAcentral lists this ribosomal RNA (171 nucleotides) under Tympanopleura sp. LEEM26. RNAcentral describes it as "partial small subunit ribosomal RNA". The record is from RNAcentral. Lineage: Eukaryota; Metazoa; Chordata; Actinopteri; Siluriformes; Auchenipteridae.
CCGCGGUUAUACGAAAGACCCUAGUUGAUGAAUACGGCGUAAAGGGUGGUUAGGGACUACAAAAAAUAGAGCUAAAGAUCCUCUAGGUCGUCAUACACAUCACGAGGAAACGAAACCCAAACACGAAAGUAACUCUAAACAAACCCUGAUGCCACGAAAGCCAAGAAACAA